UUAAAAUGUAAACCAGAUGCUCCGCAGGGCGUAGCUUUAUACGACCGCAGAGGUUGAACCCUGAACGGUUGGGGCAAGUAUGGACACAACAUUCAAGCUGGAUUCAGCUCUAAAUUUGGAUAGUGAUUAAAUAGUUGACACAGCAUAGGUUUCUGACACAGAAUGAAUGUGUUCUAAUGAACUUAAAAAUUUUGUUUUCUCUUAGAGCAAUUCACUAUGCUGUUGAAUAUUAAUCCUCUCAAAAAAAUGUUUGAAGAAAUUUUCUUUUUUAUUUAUGAAAUUUCAAAUGAGAAAAAUUGAACCCAAUUUUUUUAAUCACAUCCCCCUUUCCCUUAUUCCAAAACUAAUCUCAAUUAAAAUUUCUAAUGGAGUUUGCAACAAUAACUACUCAUUUAAAUACAUCAUAAAAUAUUAAGAUGUAAAAAAACUG
Molecule: long non-coding RNA, 430 nt
Filed under: Mytilus galloprovincialis (Mediterranean mussel)
Lineage: Eukaryota; Metazoa; Mollusca; Bivalvia; Mytilida; Mytilidae
Source: RNAcentral